This 835-nucleotide ribosomal RNA is filed under the name uncultured bacterium. RNAcentral's name for it is "bacterial SSU rRNA". It matches the Rfam family "Bacterial small subunit ribosomal RNA", at positions 24 to 846 of the family's 1533-position model. The record is from RNAcentral.
UCAGGACGAACGCUGGCGGCGUGCUUAACACAUGCAAGUGGAGCGACGAACCAGGUUUACCUGGGGCAGAGCCGCGAACGGGUGAGUAACACGUGGGUAACCUACCCCGAUGACUGGGACAACCCGGGGAAACUCGGGCUAAUACCGGAUGUGCCCAUCCCACACCAGUGGGAUGUGUAAAGGAAGCUUCGGCCUCCGCAUCGGGAGGGGCUCGCGGCCCAUUAGCUUGUUGGUGAGGUAACGGCUCACCAAGGCAUCUAUGGGUAGCUGGUCUGAGAGGACGAUCAGCCACACUGGGACUGAGACACGGCCCAGACUCCUACGGGAGGCUGCAGUGGGGAAUCUUGCACAAUGCGCGAAAGCGUGAUGCAGCAACGCCGCGUGAGGGAAGAAGGCUCUCGGGUCGUAAACCUCUUUCAGUUGGGAAGAAGCUUCGUCGGUUAAUAGCCGGCUGGAGUGACGGUACCUUCAGAAGAAGCUCCGGCUAACUACGUGCCAGCAGCCGCGGUAAUACGUAGGGAGCAAGCGUUGUCCGGAAUCAUUGGGCGUAAAGAGCGUGUAGGCGGUCCGAUUAGUCCGUUGUGAAAGUCCAAGGCUCAACCUUGGAAUGCCGGUGGAUACUGUCGGGCUAGAGUACGGAAGAGGCGAGUGGAAUUCCUGGUGUAGCGGUGAAAUGCGCAGAUAUCAGGAGGAACACCUACAGCGAAGGCAGCUCGCUGGUACGUUACUGACGCUGAGACGCGAAAGCGUGGGGAGCGAACAGGAUUAGAUACCCUGGUAGUCCACGCCGUAAACGAUGGGCACUAGAUGUGGGAGGUGUCGACUCCUCCCGUGU